Molecule: ribosomal RNA, 1005 nt
Filed under: uncultured archaeon
Lineage: Archaea
Description: bacterial SSU rRNA
Rfam family: Archaeal small subunit ribosomal RNA
Source: RNAcentral
UCCGGUUGAUCCUGCCGGAGGCCACUGCUAUGGGGGUUCGGCUAAGCCAUGCAAGUGGAGGGCGCGGUCUCACGACCGUGGCCCCGCGCAAGGCUCAGUAACACGUAGUCAACCUACCCUCGGGUGGGGGAUAACCUCGGGAAACUGAGGAUAAUACCCCAUAGGUGAGGGAGGCUGGAAGGCGCCCUCACCGAAAGCUCCGGCGCCCGAGGAUGGGACUGCGGCCUAUCAGGUAGUUGGUGGUGUAACGGACCACCAAGCCUACGACGGGUACGGGCGAUGGGAGUCGGAGCCCGGAGAUGGGGACUGAGACAAGGCCCCAGGCCCUACGGGGUGCAGCAGGCGCGAAAACUCCGCAAUGCGCGAAAGCGUGACGGGGGAACCCCCAAUGCCGCUGGUCUCACGAUCGGCGGCUUUUCCGGAGUGUAAGAAGCUCCGGGAAUAAGGGCUGGGCAAGGCUGGUGCCAGCCGCCGCGGUAAUACCAGCAGCCCAAGUGGUGGUCGCGAUUAUUGGGCCUAAAGCGCUCGUAGCCGGGCCGGCAAGUCCCUCGUGAAAUCGGACCGCCUAACGGUUCGGCUUGCGGGGGAAACUACCGGCCUAGGGCCGGGAGACGUCCGGGGUACUCCGGGGGUAGCGGUGAAAUGCGUUGAUCCUCGGAGGACCACCCGUAGCGAAGGCGCCGGACGAGAACGGACCCGACGGUGAGGGGCGAAGGCUGGGGGAGCGAACGGGAUUAGAUACCCCGGUAGUCCCAGCAGUAAAGGAUGCGGGCCAGAUGUUGGGAGUCCCUAGAGGGCUCCCAGUGUCGGAGGGAAGCCGUUAAGCCCGCCGCCUGGGGAGUACGGCCGCAAGGCUGAAACUUAAAAGAAUUGGCGGGGGAGCACCACAAGGGGUGGGACCUGCGGUUCAAUUGGAUUCAACGCCGGACAACUCACCAGGGGAGACAGCGGGAGGAAGGCCAGGCUGAAGACCUUGCUCGACUAGCUGAGAGGAGGUGCAUGGCC